This 186-nucleotide non-coding RNA is filed under the name Porphyridium aerugineum. Lineage: Eukaryota; Rhodophyta; Bangiophyceae; Porphyridiales; Porphyridiaceae. The record is from RNAcentral.
UAAAUAACAAGAUAAAAGAACGAGAGAGGGGAGGAAGACGAAGCAGAAACCAAGAUGAACGUAGAACGCAGGUUUCGAUUCGGACCCAUGGUUUUAUUUCGCGCAAGUUCAGAAUCUCUAUGAAACCAUCCAAAUGCAUCUGUUUGCUUUUUGUUUCGACCGAAUUCUCUUGGAAAUCACGUGCUA